UCCAGUGUGGGAAACUAGCACUGCCCUGGCCUUUACAGUGGCUUAGCUCAGACUGAGUCUAAAUCUCCAUUGUUCACCCCCCAAAAUAAAAGAAAGAAAAGAAUCCUGACUGAUGUAGGGGAGACCAAAGUGAACAAGAAAUGACUGUCUUCCUCAGGACCUCACAGGUCUGCAGCGGAGGUCUUGUCUUCACAAAAACCUCUGAUGUGAGGUAGUCUCUCAGCGAGAGCCCUGAGGUCCUGUGGUCUGUUUACCAGGAGGGCGUGGAAUUCCCCAACUCUUCCAGGGUGGCUGACGAUGGCUACAGACACAGGCCAGCGUCCUGUAGGGCCUACAAGCACAGGUCAACUAGAAUGCUCUGGUCAGCCGGGGCCUCUCCGCCUCCUUUGUCUAACUUGCCAUCGAAAAUGAGGUUUUCAUUGACAUAAAGCUUCACGUUCUUGGCACCGAUGUCGAGAUCCUGAAAACACAAAAUUUAACAAAGUGAAGAUGCGUGGCAUCAGACUGCUGUAUCCAAUUUCAGAACGGAGGGUAAAAAGGGCAAAUGUGGGAUGCUAUAGACGUGAGCCUUACAAAACCACGGCAUGGGGGUGCUACAUGAGACUCGGGCUCAUAUCUGUGCAACUGUUACACACUCUCUAAAUCAAAGGACUUUCACAGAGAGACAGCAUUGCUGUCGCCCUCAUCGUUACCUCCUGCUGGGGUGUUGGUAAUGGCCUGCUAAUUGGCCUCCCUGCUUCCUGUCUCUUGCUACUUCAACCUCAGCUUCACAUGGCCCCCAGGAGCAGAUCUGGCCACCACUUC
Long non-coding RNA from Talpa occidentalis (Iberian mole), 804 nucleotides. RefSeq lists it as uncharacterized. The record is from RefSeq and is a predicted model, not a curated record. NCBI's taxonomy places the organism in Eukaryota, Metazoa, Chordata, Mammalia, Eulipotyphla, Talpidae. The transcript has 3 exons.